UACGUAGGGCGCAAGCGUUGUCCGGAAUUAUUGGGCGUAAAGAGCUCGUAGGUGGCCAACUAAGUCGAACGUGAAAUCCCUCAGCUUAACUGGGGAACUGCGUCCGAUACUGGCAGGCUUGAAUCCGGGAGAGGGAUGUGGAAUUCCAGGUGUAGCGGUGAAAUGCGUAGAUAUCUGGAGGAACACCGGUGGCGAAGGCGGCAUCCUGGACCGGUAUUGACGCUGAGGCGCGAAAGCUAGGGGAGCAAACGGG
Molecule: ribosomal RNA, 253 nt
Filed under: uncultured bacterium
Lineage: Bacteria
Description: partial 16S ribosomal RNA
Rfam family: Bacterial small subunit ribosomal RNA
Source: RNAcentral